GUGCUUAAUUGGUAGCACAUAUACCAAAAUUGGAAUAAUAGAAGAUUAUAGGCUUGGCCCCUGUACAAGAACAACAUGCGAAUUCAUGAAGCAGUCCAUAUUUAA
Small nuclear RNA from Suricata suricatta (meerkat), 105 nucleotides. The record is from Ensembl. NCBI's taxonomy places the organism in Eukaryota, Metazoa, Chordata, Mammalia, Carnivora, Herpestidae.